UACAUAGGGUGCAAGCGUUGUCCGGAAUUAUUGGGCGUAAAGAGCUCGUAGGUGGUUUGUUACGUCGGAUGUGAAAUUCAGGGGCUCAACCCCUGACUUGCAUCCGAUACGGGCAAGCUAGAGUUUGGUAGGGGAGACUGGAAUUCCUGGUGUAGCGGUGGAAUGCGCAGAUAUCAGGAGGAACACCGAUGGCGAAGGCAGGUCUCUGGGCCAAUACUGACACUGAGGAGCGAAAGCGUGGGGAGCGAACAGGAUUAGAUACCCUGGUAGUCCACGCCGUAAACGGUGGGCGCUAGUUGUGCGAACCUUCCACGGUUUGUGCGACGCAGCUAACGCAUUAAGCGCCCCGCCUGGGGAGUACGAUCGCAAGAUUAAAACUCAAAGGAAUUGACGGGGCCCCGCACAAGCAGCGGAGCAUGCGGCUUAAUUCGACGCAACGCGAAGAACCUUACCAAGGCUUGACAUAUACAGGAAUAUGGCAGAGAUGUCAUAGCCGCAAGGUCUGUAUACAGGUGGUGCAUGGUUGUCGUCAGCUCGUGUCGUGAGAUGUUGGGUUAAGUCCCGCAACGAGCGCAACCCUCGUUCUGUGUUGCCAGCAUUUAGUUGGGGACUCACAGGAGACUGCCGGGGUUAACUCGGAGGAAGGUGGGGAUGACGUCAAAUCAUCAUGCCCCUUAUGUCUUGGGCUGCACGCAUGCUACAAUGGCUGGUACAAACGGCUGCGAUACCGCAAGGUGGAGCGAAUCCGAUAAAGCCAGUCUCAGUUCGGAUUGGGGUCUGCAACUCGACCCCAUGAAGUCGGAGUUGCUAGUAAUCGUAGAUCAGCAACGCUACGGUGAAUACGUUCCCGGGGCU
This 855-nucleotide ribosomal RNA is filed under the name uncultured bacterium. RNAcentral describes it as "SSU rRNA". It matches the Rfam family "Bacterial small subunit ribosomal RNA", at positions 524 to 1381 of the family's 1533-position model. The record is from RNAcentral.